CUUCUCAAAGGGUUCCUGACUGUGGAAAUCCAGUGGUCCACAACAGGCCCACAGUAGAUGGCAUCAAGCUUCCAUCGCAAGUCCAAUUUCAAACAAACUCUUUCAACUUUUCUGCUCAUGCAACACCACAGCACCUGAUAGAUCUGAAAACCAUAUCGCAGUUCUCGGAAAGGUUCAGGUGAAGGUCCCUCGGCUAAAUGUCCAGCCCCUCAAAAGAAAUCUCCAGCCGAGUGGAAAGAACCCGACAAGGUGAGCCAAAUUACUCGGACAGUAUUAGUUCUCCCAGUUUUUCCCCUUACCAGGGGUUUCCAGGCAGGCUUCCUCCAAAUAAUACCCAACCUAUCAGGUUUCCAGGCAUGCAGAAGUUCAACACCAAAAAUUCGCAAUUACGGAAAGAACUUUGUCAUAAAACAGAAUCGUAUUAUUCUCAAUUUCAAAGUACAGCAAUGAACGUGUGGUAGUCACUAACCAUCACCAAAAAUGCAUGCCAACCGAAAGAGACAGAUAAUCAUGUGAAAGUUCUUACCUCCUGCAAACACUCGACAGUAGAAAAAGACAGACGGAGGAACAAGAAAA
Phoenix dactylifera (date palm) is the source of this 576-nucleotide non-coding RNA. NCBI's taxonomy places the organism in Eukaryota, Viridiplantae, Streptophyta, Magnoliopsida, Arecales, Arecaceae. The record is from RefSeq and is a predicted model, not a curated record.